Oryzias melastigma (Indian medaka) is the source of this 8742-nucleotide RNA transcript. It is a transcript of the gene named potassium voltage-gated channel, shaker-related subfamily, member 4, with no coding region annotated. NCBI's taxonomy places the organism in Eukaryota, Metazoa, Chordata, Actinopteri, Beloniformes, Adrianichthyidae. The record is from RefSeq and is a predicted model, not a curated record. The transcript is spliced from 3 exons.
AGGAGCGACGAUGAAAAGGGGGGGCUCGGCUGUGAGACUGCAGCACAACGCGCAGUGACGCGCUGCGUCCACUGGGGGAGGACCGAGCGCCGCCUGCGCCCGCUGCGACGCAGGAACCGCUUUCUCACCGAGAUUCUCCAUCAUCACUCAGGAUGGGAGGGAUGCAGGAGUAUAGGUAGGGAUACAGAGGCAGACAGACAGACGCAUGAUGCUCACACUUAGCCGGGGGGUCGUUUCUUCCCCCCCCAUCAUCAACGCCGUGGUAAACUUUCCCCCCACCCUCCGUUCUUUUUUUGAUUGCGCGGAGCUGUCACUAAUGCCAACUCCCUAUUCGCACACCUGAUUCUCCUCCUCCCCCCUUUUUUAUUUUUCCCUAAAAGCUGAAUGUUGCCUCCAUACAGUGAGCGAUGCUGCAGGAACGGGGGCUGAAGUGCCAAUAGAUCCUGUUGAAUUGAGACAAGACGUCGAGACGCAGCCCCUAAAAAAAAGUGUCAUCUCCAGAGUGCGUCAGAGCACGGAUGUAUAUACUGGAUGUGGAUUUUGGUCGCUGGCUGGACACGACGAGGGAUUUUGGGAUGUUAACGUCCAACAAUUCCAACAGGAAUUUGAGAAAAAAAUGUACAUCCUCCUCCUCCAGCAGGUUUGUUUUGGCUGUUGAGGCGCUUCGAUUUGGCACCUUUUCAGACCUUCUGCUGAACACAUGAGGAAUAAAAGUCCUUCUGCGUAACUGGGAGUCUAUAAUACAUCAGAGAAUAUUUUUCUACCAAUUUCUUUUUACGAAAAUGGCACCACGGGGGAGCGAUGGACGCAUUUGGGCGCAAGCGCCAAUCUUUGGGAAAUUAACCACCUGAUGGGCUCCGGAGAAGCAGCGGACAGACUGCUUUGGUGUAGCUUGUUGACUCGGUGAUUUAUAAUGCUGAGCUUAUAGAGGAGGGAGGCUGCAACUUUUGUCAGAGCGCCUGCGUAACAGGCGAUUGCGCCGGCCUUGGAUUAAUUUUUUUCCCUUUUUUGUGAUGCUAAUGAUGUCAUGUAAUCCAACAUGAGAAGAUGGGGUUUCAGACCCCCCUUAUCUGUGAGGAGCUUCCCUGAACCUGAAGCAGACUGAUGUUUCUUGAGCUGACUGGUUGAUCGGAACGGUUCAUGCCUUAUUCGCCCUCCCUGCGCGCGCCGGGCUCCAACUUUUUCUCCUCUGCUGUGCGUCCACAUCACCUUGAGGCGGUUUCUAUAGCGCCCAGACAGACUUAAGAUGGAGUUUGCCAUGGUGGGCGCGGACGGCGGGUGCAACAGUCACUUGCCAUACGGGUAUGCCCAAGCGCGGGCGCGUGAGAGGGAGCGCGAGCGAGAGCGCCAGGCGGCUCAGUCCAGAGCGGCCGCGGCUGCGGCGGCGACCGAGGGGGGUUCUGCUGCGGAGGGAGGAGGAGGAGGAGGAGGCCACGGAGGGGGGUCCAUCUCCACCACCACCACCUCCUCGAGCGCUCAUCUCCUUAACAACCGCCAGCAUCAGUCUCGCGCCGCCUCCUCCUCCAUCAGCGGCGGCGGCACCGCCUCGCGCCCCUCCUCCUCCUCCUCCUCCACCUCCUCCUGGCACCAGCAGGAGCCCGAGCAGCAGCAGAGAGUUCUCAGAGAGCGGAAAAAGCAGCGCGGCGUCGGACGGUGGAGACGCAACCGGGCGACUCUCGGCGGAGACUUGCGCCACUCGGAGCUGGCGCUGCUCGGAUCGGAGGAGGACAUCAUGAUAGAGGAGGAGGAGGAAGAGGAGGAAGCAGAGGAGGAGGAGGAGCAGCGGCAGCAGGGGGGCCGGGGAGACAAGAGCUUUCUGUGCAACAUGGAUGAGGAUGAGGAGACCGUGUCCAUCACGGACAGGCGCCCCCAGUCCGGCUACGAGAGCGCCUACAGCGAGUGCGGCGGCUGCUGCGAGAGGGUCGUCAUCAACGUUUCAGGUCUGAAGUUUGAAACUCAGCUGAAGACUCUGACUCAGUUCCCUGACACUCUGCUGGGAGACCCCGACAAGCGCAUCCGAUACUUCGACCCGCUCAGGAACGAGUACUUCUUCGACCGGAACCGGCCGAGCUUCGACGCCAUCCUCUACUACUAUCAGUCGGGGGGGAGGCUAAAAAGACCCGUCAACGUGCCGUUCGACAUCUUCUCCGAGGAGGUGAAGUUCUACGAACUCGGGGAGGAGGCGAUCCUGAAGUUUCGGGAGGACGAGGGCUUCGUGAAGGAGGAGGAGAAGCCCCUGCCGGAGGACGAGUUCAAGCGUCAGAUCUGGCUGCUGUUCGAGUACCCGGAGAGCUCCAGCCCGGCCCGGGGCAUCGCCGUGGUGUCCGUGCUGGUCAUCGUCAUCUCCAUCGUCAUCUUCUGCCUGGAGACGCUGCCGGAGUUCAGGGAUGAGAAGGAGUACCUGCAGCCGCGCCACAACUCCUCCGAGCCCGACCACGGCUUCACGCCCUUCAACGACCCCUUCUUCAUCGUGGAGACCGUCUGCAUCAUCUGGUUCUCCUUUGAGAUCAUAGUUCGCUUCUUCGCGUGCCCCAGCAAGACCGCUUUCUUCAAAAACAUCAUGAACUCCAUAGACAUUGUCUCCAUUUUGCCUUACUUCAUCACCCUCGGUACGGACCUGGCGCAGCACCAGGGCAACGGCCAGCAGGCCAUGAGUUUCGCCAUCCUGAGAAUAAUCCGCCUCGUGCGGGUGUUCCGCAUCUUCAAGCUGUCCCGCCACUCCAAGGGGCUGCAAAUCCUGGGUCACACCCUGCGCGCCAGCAUGCGGGAGCUGGCGCUGCUCAUCUUCUUCCUGGUCAUUGGGGUCAUCCUCUUCUCCAGCGCGGUGUACUUCGCCGAAGCGGACGAGCCCACCUCCCAGUUCACGAGCAUCCCCGACGCGUUCUGGUGGGCCGUGGUCACCAUGACGACGGUGGGCUACGGGGACAUGAAGCCCAUCACCGUCGGGGGGAAGAUAGUGGGCUCCCUGUGCGCCAUCGCGGGCGUGUUGACCAUCGCGCUCCCGGUGCCUGUCAUCGUGUCCAACUUCAACUACUUCUACCACAGGGAGACCGACAACGAGGACCAGACGCCCGUGGUGGAGAGCAUGCCUCCGGGGUGCCCGUAUUUCCCCGACUUUCUAAGGAAGUUCAAAGGCUCGCCCUCGGGCUCCUCGCUCGGGGACAAAGCGGAGUACAUGGAGAUGGAGGAAGGGGUGACGGAAUCGCUCUGCGGGCUGGACAAAAGCCCCAGUAAAGGAAACGGCACAGACAUAAGCAGGAAAAACAGCACUAACUCUAAAUCUAUUCAGACAGACGUGUGAUUUUUUUCUCCUCUUUUUUUGCCCAACAUCAGGUGACUACCACUUUUACGCAACUUUUACGCACCGUCCAAACUCCCCAAAACGCACACAUCUAUCCAUCCAUUCCAUAUUUUUUUUCUUAACACCAACAUAUAGAUUCAUCUGAGCUGUGCGGGCUUCCAAAUAAAAAAAGUCAAAUUCCACAGAAGAGACAGGCUAUGCAUUCGCACUUUAUAAGUUUUUCUGUCACAUCCGAGGGGUAGGGACGAUCGGUUUGCUGUUAUGCAAUAAAAGUUAUCAUUUGUUUGCACUAAAGUAGUAUUUGCGCUGGAGGUUCCUAUAGAGACAGAAAACUGUAGGCCAUGCAGAUGGCAAAAUUUUAGGCAUAACAUUGCUUGAAAUAACGCUCCAAAAACCCAAAGUGAGCAUAGAAAAAAAGCUUGCCGGUUUAACUGGACUCCAUACAAGAAAAAAAGGCAAGACGUAAUUUUAUCUGCUCCAACACUUAAAAUAUAAACGUAUAUUCAGAAUUGAUAUAUAUCUUUUUCAGGAGGUAUUCCUUUAAAGAGUCAGGGCUACAAAGACAUAUAUCCCCUUCCUAUCCAGAACCAAACAAAAUCCUCACCAUGAAAAGAGUUAAGCACAUGCAUCAUCAUUCAUGGCUGGAGAAAUGACUCGCCGCAGGUCAUAUGGACGUUUUUGGAGCUUUGGCAUCAACAAUUUAUUUUUUAUUUAUUUUUAUUUUUUCCUCCACUCUCAUUUAAAUCACCUCAAAAUGACAAUAUCCCUUUACACGGACGAAGAUGGAAGGUUAUAGCAAAAACGACUGUUGUGGAAAAUUCUUCAAAGGAGAGUUUUACGCGCAAUUCCUUUUUUCUCAAGUCAAUGCACAAGCGUACAUGGCUCAGAAAACCAGCGGGAUAAGGAUGUCUUCCAAGUGCUGCCAGUAACAAGAAGUGAGCAAGAAACUCCCUCUCCCCCGACACGUCCGGAAACCGAAGAGAACAAGCGAAACAUUGUGACCCCAUCGACGGCGGCGCGAGCGGACUCUGCAAAGCGUCAGCGGAACGGGACUUUUGGAAACUUUUGAGAGGAGAUCAAAGCUGCUGUUAUGUCUCAGUGGACAAACCUUCAUGGGUUGAGACUGGAGGUGGCAUAGAGUAAGUCGUGACCCCACCCCCCACUCCCCCCAAAAUGAUUGCCUUAAUUGCUACAAAUACAGACGUAAGAAGCGACAAUACUGAGAGACUUAUAAGAACUUACAGAUGUUUUCUUUACAUGUGAAAAAAAGUGUCUUGUAUGGAACAGAUGUGAAUAUUUUAAUAAGAUAGAGAAAACAUUUGGUUGUACCGUCAACAUGUUUUAGUUGGGUCGGCUUUGUAGGUGUCAUUAAACGGUGAGGCUGCUCUCUGCUUUUAUGCAGCCGGCACUUUUUACCUUGUUUCGUACUUCCAGCCUCACUAAGGCUGGCCUCUGUUGUUUAAUCAAAUGCUGGCAAAAAAAACAAAACAAAAACAAAAAAAAACACCUUAAUUCCCCAUCACAGCACAUACAAUCCUCAUUCAGACAAUGCAUGAAUGGUUGGGAGACCCUUUCUGGUUCAAUGCAGCACUCAGAUGGAGAACAUCCAUUACAAUCCACUUAAGCAAAGAUGUCAGGAACAUAAACAUCCAUCACAAAGAUCUGCCAUUUCUACCAUAGACAACUGGCAGAUAAAAAUGGGUGAACAUAAAGACAAAAGUACUUUUAUUAUUAUUUAUAAUUUUUUUUUUCCACAGAUGCAAAUUUAGAGCCGACCAGCUGCUUUGUUGAUAUGUUUUCACUCUAAAUUUACCUGUAUGCAAAAGUAACAUGUGUUCUAUAUUUUUUUAAACCUAGCCUUGAUAAUUACAUAACCAAAGGUGAAACCCUGAGUUUAUUGUAAGUUGUGGACUUCUGGAAAAUGUUGUGACAUAGAUGCACACUGAUUAGGGAAAAAAAAUGUAAAUAUCAGACAUUUAUACUUGUGUGUCAGAAGAUGUGUUUCAGAUAGAGUAAUUUGAGACUUUUUACUUUCUUUGACUGUUAGAACCAUCAACCAUAAUGGUCUGUAUUUGGUUUGUCCUCGCAGAUACAAUCAUGUUCUUAUUGUUACGAAUGCUGCUCCGACGUUCCUCAUCAAUCAUGUUUUUGGAAAUGUCAUUUUCUUUUGCCUGUUUUUGUUUAUUUGUUUUUUUACAUAUAUAUAUAAAUCCCUGUUGGAAUUUUACCAUCUUGUUUGUUUUGCUCUGUCAGAAACUAAAAUGCUGCUGUUGUUCGAGCAGCCUUGUUGGAGAAAUGUUGACUUGAGUGGUGUUACGUUCACACCGGCCUCGGCAAUGUGCGUUCUAGAGACCAUUUUCAAAGAAAAAAAGUCUAUGAUCAAAACUCUUGUGUUCAUGCGUAGCUACACAAGUUUUCAAGACCCUUUUUUGGGUUCUACGUACAAAACAUGCAACCAUCAAACACAUAUUGACAGUUAAACAAGUUGACCAAUCAGGGACUCGGAUUUGGUAGAGACGUACAGAUGCCAUCCUUUUCAAAACAUGAAAAUACCACACUAUUAAAAAUUCAUAACGGAGGAGAAAUCAAUAAUUGGUGUUUUUACCCGGCCAGAAUUCUAUGACAACAUGUCUUUUAUACAUUGUAAUAUAGCUGUGAAAAAAAAUGCCAGGAACAAGAGUCACAAGAUUUGCAUCACUUCUGUACCACACUGCACCGGACCUCUUCCAACUGUUGGUACCGACGCAUUCUUAUUCCUGAGUUGUCACAUUCUGAUGCAUAGUUAAGGACCUCUCCGCAUCAAAAAUGUACAUUUGGGUGUCCCUAAUCGUUGUUUUUUGACAUGCUGGCUGUUCCAAUUAAAUCAAGGCCCACCCACAAACCGGUACCGAGAUGUGGACCACACCGGUACCCUGAAGUGUACACUAAAUCCUACCCUCCAAUGGAGGGUAGGGUCCAAAUGCUUUCCUUCUAACCCUAACCUUAACACAAUACCGGACACAGAUCAGUAUGGGUACCAGACACAGAUCAUUACCAGACGUGAAUCAGUACCGAUACAAGAUGUGGAUCAGUACCAGACAGGGGUCAGUAUUGGUACCAGACGCAGAUCAGUACCGGUACUGCGGAUUGGUACAGCGUACCACCAGCUAGCCCAGUCCACGUCAGUACUGGUUCCUUACGCGGAUCAGUACCAGAUGGGUCUGAUCAGUACCAUAUACGUCACGUGGUACGCGGUACCAAUCCACAUCUGGUAACAGCACUGAUCCGCGUCUGGUGCCAAUCUACAUCUUAUACCGGUACUGAUCUGUGUCUGGUACCAAUCUUCAUCUGGUACCGGUUCUGAUCCUUGUUCAAUACCCAACCGUGGAACACGGUACCGAUCCCCAUCUGGUACCAGUAUUGAUCCGCGUCUGGUACCGGUACUGUCGCGGACUGGGCUACGGUUUGGGUGCUGGGUUUGGGUACCGGCCACAUCCCGUGGUUCAGACUGCAUCCAGUUCCGCGUUUGACAAAACGUCUGAACCCCUGAUGCAAUUGGAACAGCCUGCGUGUCAAAAACGACGAGUUGUGGAAACCCCAAACAUCAAAACGUGACACAGAAGGGUCCUUAACCAAACGCCAAAAUAUGUGACGAGUUGUGAAUGAGAAUAUCUAAUCGGUACAUGUGCUAGUAUCAGGUACCAAGAGUCCAGUGUGAACAUCACGCUUUUAGCGUUUUCUUGAACGCGCAUCACAUUCCCGGUGCGAACGUAGCACUACAUAUACUAGACCUUUCAAUGAAAUGUUUAGAGAUGUCCACUGACAUGCCAGUAGUAGUAGUAAGUGAUAUCCUAUAUUUUUAUGAAGACGGUGUUUUAUUUUCCUAAAUAAUUUACUUUCAGAACAUCCUUUACAUUGUUUGCUAUAAUAGCACCUAAAGGCUUGAAUCUAGAGUUACGUGUGUGUGUGUGUGUGUGUGUGGGUGUGUGUGUGUGCGUGUUGGAGAAAAUCCAAAGUUGGCAUUCUUUGACAAUUUUCUUCCCUUAAUACCUCAUAAAGGGUAUUCUUCUGAACAAAAAUGUUUCAGUUUUCCUUAGUGUCAAACGUUUACAAAUCAAUAUUUAGUUUUGUAGAGAUGUCAGGAGGACCUGUUCAGGGUGUGCCCCGCCUGCAGGACCCCAGCGGGGUCUGGAGAUGGAUGGAUAGAUGUCAGGAGCUUCUUGUGGAAGGUGGUAGGAAGUUACCAAAUACCUGCUAUUCCAUCACACUUUAAUGAUCAAUUGGUUGAAAAUGCAUACAACAAAUAAAUGUUUUAAGUUAUGGUCAUAUGAACAAAAGCUGGAAGUCUUCAAACCUAUUCCCACCUCUUCCUGUCAUUACACCUCCAAUUGUGCACAGAUUGCAAAAACAAGACUAACAUCCUUCAUGGAUAGAGGUGCUGGCAGGCUGAAGCAGAGCCAGACCAAAUACCAAAUACUGGUUUAUUAUUGAGCGUAUUACGACAUAUUCACACCACUGACGUAGAAGACAAAAAUGAGAGCGAUAAUACUCAUGUCAACAAUUUUUUUCCAGAGUUGGAUUAAAUGAAAACAUAGUCAGUGUGAAAAAAUACAUCCCCUGGAAUGAUUUUGUUACACUGAUCUUGUCAGAUUACGCGCCUGAAGCACAAGCUGUUCCACGCUCGCAGCGCUCCAUCAGCGGAGGCCUCAUCAGUCUGGGGAGUGUGGAGUUGGAAUAGGGGGUUUGACCCAGGGACUCUAAUCUGAACAUGAGCUCACAGGGUGUUUACAGACCUGAGAUGUAGCUGCAGAACUAAUCAUACAGACAUUAAAUGGUGGUUGGAAGUCAGCCUUGGCUGUACGUUAAUAAGGGACAAAUGAGUCAGCUGCAAACAUGCAGUGGAAAAGGAUAACUCGCCGCUGGGUUACUACGAGUACGACGAGCGCCUCAGAACUGAUACUGGAAGGAGCCGCAACCAGUCAAGGAGAACACUUCAGGACACCUCCAGACAGUUUCUUUAGUCUAUGCAUUGGAAUAAUUUAUUAGGAGGACACUGAGACAGCUUUAAUCACUGGAGCAGGAGGAACCAAUUAAGAGGCCAUGUAAAGAAGAACGAGGCGAACAAAGGUCAGGCUGUACACGCUGAGGCUGAACGAACAGAAACGGCGGCGUGAGCGGGGGUCAAAUGAAUACAUGGAAUAACAUCCAUGUAGGUGUUUUUCUGAGCAGAACUCGAAACACCAGAACAGUUUUCUGUUUUUACCCAUGAAGGAUGCUAGGAGGCUGAAAUCGUUCGCUGUCAUUUAGUCUGGCCUUCAGUCAGGUCUUAUUAGGCAUUUGGAUUGUACGGUGGCCCUGAAGUACAAAACACAACAACAAAUUACUUAAAGUCACAUGCGAUGAAAAAACUUUUUUUUUUUUAGUUUGAACAUGUAUGUGUGGCAUUUUUCUUAUGAAAGAGA